CCUACGGGUUGCAGCAGUGGGGAAUAUUGCACAAUGGGCGCAAGCCUGAUGCAGCCAUGCCGCGUGUGUGAAGAAGGCCUUCGGGUUGUAAAGCACUUUCAGCGGGGAGGAAGGCGUUAAGGUUAAUAACCUUAGCGAUUGACGUUACCCGCAGAAGAAGCACCGGCUAACUCCGUGCCAGCAGCCGCGGUAAUACGGAGGGUGCAAGCGUUAAUCGGAAUUACUGGGCGUAAAGCGCACGCAGGCGGUCUGUCAAGUCGGAUGUGAAAUCCCCGGGCUCAACCUGGGAACUGCAUUCGAAACUGGCAGGCUAGAGUCUUGUAGAGGGGGGUAGAAUUCCAGGUGUAGCGGUGAAAUG
This 358-nucleotide ribosomal RNA is filed under the name uncultured bacterium. RNAcentral's name for it is "bacterial SSU rRNA". It matches the Rfam family "Bacterial small subunit ribosomal RNA", at positions 338 to 688 of the family's 1533-position model. The record is from RNAcentral.